This 385-nucleotide ribosomal RNA is filed under the name uncultured bacterium. RNAcentral's name for it is "bacterial SSU rRNA". It matches the Rfam family "Bacterial small subunit ribosomal RNA", at positions 28 to 414 of the family's 1533-position model. The record is from RNAcentral.
GACGAACGCUGGCGGCGUGCUUAACACAUGCAAGUCGAGCGGUAAGGCCCUUUCGGGGGUACACGAGCGGCGAACGGGUGAGUAACACGUGGGUGACCUGCCCUUAGCUCUGGGAUAAGCCUGGGAAACUGGGUCUAAUACCGGAUAUGACUCCAUGACGCAUGUUGUGGGGUGGAAAGCCUUGUGCGGCUAGGGAUGGGCCUGCGGCCUAUCAGCUUGUUGGUGGGGUGAUGGCCUACCAAGGCGACGACGGGUAGCCGGCCUGAGAGGGCGACCGGCCACACUGGGACUGAGACACGGGCCCAGACUCCUACGGGAGGCAGCAGUGGGGAAUCUUGCGCAAUGGGCGAAAGCCUGACGCAGCGACGCCGCGUGGGGAUGACGG